AGCCCUAGUGAGAUAUAUAAAAGAUAAUGAGUGAUCUGAGAGAACCUAUGAGGAUAAAAGGUAAGCUAACUUUCUUUUCAAAAAUAUACAAAAACUCCAAGUGACAGGAUUAAGAAGAAAGGAUCUUUACUCUUAACCAUAUAUUUCCCUGACUAUAGUACACAGUGGAUCUUAAUACCCUACAAAUAUAAAGAAAAUGUUUUACCCCAGAUAUUAUUCUUAACCAUCCUUUUCUCAAGGAUGAGUAAAAGCCUAAGUAUGGGGGUAUUUGUUGACGGUUCUUAAGUAUCAAUUUUAAUUAUCAAAUAAACAAGAGAAAGGACCAAUAUGCAAACAACACCUAGAAUUAGGGUUUGAUCUGACAGAAUUCCACGAGUUUUGUUGUUUAUCUGUUUCUGCAGGGGGUUUUCAGGAAAUAAUGAAGAAAGGCCCAC
RNAcentral lists this long non-coding RNA (434 nucleotides) under Sorghum bicolor (sorghum). RNAcentral describes it as "long non-coding RNA (SBIC_LNC001284)". Lineage: Eukaryota; Viridiplantae; Streptophyta; Magnoliopsida; Poales; Poaceae. The record is from RNAcentral.